UUUCCCUCAUAUUGCCCCACUGCUUUCCUUAAUUCUUUAUGCAUCUAUUAAAUUUAAAAAUAGGAGUAUAGAUCAUAUAUGAGGUUUAGUGUUUGUCAAUCUGAAGUGUCUACCUAGGCUCCUAUUGGUUUUUUCAGAAUGAUUUUUACCUGUUACUUCACAAAUACCAAAAUUACUCAACUCUUCAAAAGCUGUUAUCUUAUUUUGUUACAGCACUGAAAGGAAUACAAGAUAAGUGCUGCUCUCUCUGAGAGUGGAUAGGGUUGUAAAGAAUUCACUGACUUGCUCCACGUCUUCUUGAUAACUAUGUAAGCCGAGAGGCCAUUUGUUAGGAUCAACAAAUGGUUGAUGAAAAAUGAAUAAGAUCAUCCUUAUCCUCAAGAGACUGAAGGCGUAAAAAUGGGUGAACUUUCUAGAAGUUAAGAUAAAAAGAAAUGCUCAAGUGUAAAUACUUUGUAUUGUAAAUAGCCAAGGAAAGAGAAAGAAGAACUAGUGAAGAAACCAACAAAAGAAUAUUAUGACAGGGGGGGAACGAGAGCCAGUGAGGUGCAUCAGAACCACCUAAAGGGACUGUCAAAAAUGUGGAUCUGCUGGCUCCACUCCACACAGACUCGACCAGAAGCUCUGCCAGUGUGGCCCCAGGAAUCUGCAUUGCUAAGCUCACACAGGUGAUUCUUCUGUAUGUUCUAACGUCAUGAAAAACAAAGGAAGAGUUUCAAAGAAAAGGUGGGCAACAAUGAAAAAUUAUAUAAAAAUGUAAACACUAAAAAAUAUGAAAAAUGUAAGAUUCACCACAAAUGAGAGAAAAUCCUGCUGAUUUUCCUAUUUUUAAACUAAAAAGAUAUUGAAGUAAGCAUACCCCGUGGAUGGUGGAGCAGAAAGCUGUGAACCUGGAUCCUUGAUGGCUGCGUUCAGCAGCUGAAUCAACCAUAACAUCACCUGCCUCCGGACUUCCAAUGUGAGAAAAAUAAACCCCUUUUAAUUAAAGUAAGAGUGUAUAUUCUUGUUUGCAGUAAAUUUACUUGGUAAUAACGGGUAAAGAAUGAAUGCUUGUGAAUAGUAAUGACAACACUUAUUGAGUGUUUACUACACAUCAAGCACUUUAAGAGCUUUAUACAAAUAUCUCACCAAAUCCCCAUCACAACCCUAUGAUACAGCAUAACUCACCAUUACUAAUAGGAAAAUAAAUGAGCUCCACUUACGGACAUGCAGCGUACCAAAGGUAGUAAAUGGAUGUCUCAUGGAUAAUGAAAGGAUAGGAAAAUGGAUGUGGUCAACUUGUUAAUUCCCAAGUACUUUUCCUGGCAUUUCUACUGCCUAUCUUCUUUUGCAUUAAUUUAAAUCCUAUAUAUCUUUCGUGGCACAAGGUAAGUCCAAAUCCUCUGUUAGGAAAUCUCUCUUAACAACAUUUAAGUAUGAGCUUUCCCUUUUUUGAUUCUCUGGAAUUCAGAUUUAGGACCAUACUCUAUGACCUAGAUUAUACAACAUUUGAAGUAGAAAAAAUGCCUUAUUCUAGAAGAGUACAGGGUGUUAAAUAAUUCCUGUCAAACGAUGACAUCUAACCAUUUUACAUUUUUCACCUAUAAAAAUUUUCCAUAAUGUGACUUGAAAAUUCUUAUUUUAGGCUUACCUGUAAUCAUACUUCAUUUAAUUGAGCAAAUGUAAUUAAUUUGUUACUAAUAGAUAAGAGUUCUCUGUGGUUUCCAGCUUGGUAAUGUUUCUCUUGACAUCUCUCUCUGGUGAUCUAGGUUAAUGGAAAUUUGCGAACGUGUACAAUUGCUUUUUAUGAAGCACUGAAUAUUCUUCCACUCCUGCCUCCCUACAUGUGUCAGUUCUCCUUAGCAUUCUGCAAUGAUCAAAACUGACAUAUUCACAUAUGUGUAAAUGUCUAUUUGGGGAAAUGAUAUGGUUUUAAAAAUGUUGUUGCUGUUAUGUUAUGUCGCUGUUGGCAUGUCUUUAUUUUGUCCUGUUGCUAGACACAUGUUGACAAUUCUUGAGGGAAUAAAGAUUCUACUGUUUCCCUUUACAUUUAAUUACAUUGAGAACUUUAGAAAACUGUCUCCAUGAGUUAUACAUGAUUAGUUCAU
This 2087-nucleotide long non-coding RNA is filed under the name Equus caballus (horse). RNAcentral's name for it is "lncRNA (ENSECAG00000049780.1)". Lineage: Eukaryota; Metazoa; Chordata; Mammalia; Perissodactyla; Equidae. The record is from RNAcentral.